UAGGGAAUCUUCGGCAAUGGGGGCAACCCUGACCGAGCAACGCCGCGUGAGUGAAGAAGGUUUUCGGAUCGUAAAGCUCUGUUGUAAGAGAAGAACGUGUGUGAGAGUGGAAAGUUCACACAGUGACGGUAACUCACCAGAAAGGGACGGCUAACUACGUGCCAGCAGCCGCGGUAAUACGUAGGUCCCGAGCGUUGUCCGGAUUUAUUGGGCGUAAAGCGAGCGCAGGCGGUUUAAUAAGUCUGAAGUUAAAGGCAGUGGCUUAACCAUUGUUCGCUUUGGAAACUGUUAAACUUGAGUGCAGAAGGGGAGAGUGGAAUUCCAUGUGUAGCGGUGAAAUGCGUAGAUAUAUGGAGGAACACCGGUGGCGAAAGCGGCUCUCUGGUCUGUAACUGACGCUGAGGCUCGAAAGCGUGGGGAGCAAACAGG
This 429-nucleotide ribosomal RNA is filed under the name bacterium. RNAcentral describes it as "partial 16S ribosomal RNA". It matches the Rfam family "Bacterial small subunit ribosomal RNA", at positions 355 to 776 of the family's 1533-position model. The record is from RNAcentral.